GCGGUUGUAGCACAACGGCAGUGCGGCUGCUUGCCAUGCAGCAGACCGGGGUUCGACUCCCCGUAACCGCU
This 71-nucleotide transfer RNA is filed under the name Catenuloplanes indicus. Its description in RNAcentral is "tRNA-Gly". It matches the Rfam family "tRNA". From Rfam's summary of the family: Transfer RNA (tRNA) molecules are approximately 80 nucleotides in length. The record is from RNAcentral. Lineage: Bacteria; Bacillati; Actinomycetota; Actinomycetes; Micromonosporales; Micromonosporaceae. RNAcentral also lists the same sequence under 3 other names.